AUUUUUUCAUCGAAAUAUUAAUAAAUUUUAUGAAACCCAAAGGCGAAAUGAAAGUAAAAUAAUUUUUUUUUUUUUAAUUAAUUUAUUUAAAUGAAAAUUUGAGGGAGGAUAUAUUUUUAUUAUGUAUUGAAUAUCGCACUCCCAGGGCAUCUUAUACUAUUCUUAUAAUUAUUUUAUAUUUUUUAUUAUGAAUAAAGGUGCACCUAUAGCGUACACGCUGGGACCCGAAAGAUGGUGAACUAUGCCUGGUCAGGACGAAGUCAGGGGAAACCCUGAUGGAGGUCCGUAGCGAUUCUGACGUGCAAAUCGAUCGUCGGAACGGGUAUAGGG
Molecule: ribosomal RNA, 330 nt
Filed under: Myrmeleon fasciatus group sp. 194-MypsSb1
Lineage: Eukaryota; Metazoa; Arthropoda; Insecta; Neuroptera; Myrmeleontidae
Also listed under: 1 other name
Description: partial 28S ribosomal RNA
Rfam family: Eukaryotic large subunit ribosomal RNA
Source: RNAcentral